AACGACUCUCGGCAACGGAUAUCUCGGCUCUCGCAUCGAUGAAGAACGUAGCGAAAUGCGAUACUUGGUGUGAAUUGCAGAAUCCCGUGAACCAUCGAGUCUUUGAACGCAAGUUGCGCCCCAAACCUUCUGGUCGAGGGCACGUCUGCCUGG
RNAcentral lists this ribosomal RNA (153 nucleotides) under Thysanocarpus sp. RSA-18923. RNAcentral describes it as "5.8S ribosomal RNA". It matches the Rfam family "5.8S ribosomal RNA". From Rfam's summary of the family: 5.8S ribosomal RNA (5.8S rRNA) is a component of the large subunit of the eukaryotic ribosome. It is transcribed by RNA polymerase I as part of the 45S precursor that also contains 18S and 28S rRNA. Functionally, it is thought that 5.8S rRNA may be involved in ribosome translocation. The record is from RNAcentral. Lineage: Eukaryota; Viridiplantae; Streptophyta; Magnoliopsida; Brassicales; Brassicaceae.